UCCACGCCGUAAACGAUGGAUACUAGGUGUUGGAGGGUUUCGACCCCUUCAGUGCCGUCGCUAACGCAUUAAGUAUCCCGCCUGGGGAGUACGGUCGCAAGAUUAAAACUCAAAGGAAUAGACGGGGACCCACACAAGCGGUGGAGCACCUGGCUUAAUUCGAUAAUGAGCGAGGAACCUUACCUGGACUUGACAUCCUGAGAAUUUUCUAGAAAUAGAAAAGUGCCUUAUGGAACUCAGUGACAGGUGCUGCAUGGUUGUCGUCAGCUCGUGCCUUGAGGUGUUCGGUUAAGUCCGUAAACGAGCGCAACCCAUGUCCUGUGUUGUAUUUUUCACAGGAGACUGCCGAUUCAAAGUCGGAGGAGGUAUGG
RNAcentral lists this ribosomal RNA (371 nucleotides) under uncultured bacterium. Its description in RNAcentral is "bacterial SSU rRNA". It matches the Rfam family "Bacterial small subunit ribosomal RNA", at positions 794 to 1178 of the family's 1533-position model. The record is from RNAcentral.